UACAGAGGUCCCGAGCGUUGUUCGGAUUCACUGGGCGUAAAGCGUGCGCAGGCGGUUAUAUAAGACAGAUGUGAAAUCCCCGGGCUUAACCUGGGAACUGCAUUUGUGACUGCAUCGCUGGAGUGCGGCAGAGGGGGAUGGAAUUCCGCGUGUAGCAGUGAAAUGCGUAGAUAUGCGGAGGAACACCGAUGGCGAAGGGCAAUCCCCUGGGCCUGCACUGACGCUCAUGCACGAAAGCGUGGGGAGCAAACAGG
This 254-nucleotide ribosomal RNA is filed under the name uncultured bacterium. RNAcentral describes it as "partial 16S ribosomal RNA". It matches the Rfam family "Bacterial small subunit ribosomal RNA", at positions 524 to 776 of the family's 1533-position model. The record is from RNAcentral.